CCUACGGGGUGCUGCCGUGAGGAAUAUUGGUCAAUGGACGAGAGUCUGAACCAGCCAAGUAGCGUGAAGGAUGACUGCCCUAUGGGUUGUAAACUUCUUUUAUAUGGGAAUAAAAUGUUCCACGUGUGGGAUUUUGUAUGUACCAUAUGAAUAAGGAUCGGCUAACUCCGUGCCAGCAGCCGCGGUAAUACGGAGGAUCCGAGCGUUAUCCGGAUUUAUUGGGUUUAAAGGGAGCGUAGGUGGAUUGUUAAGUCAGUUGUGAAAGUUUGCGGCUCAACCGUAAAAUUGCAGUUGAAACUGGCAGUCUUGAGUACAGUAGAGGUGGGCGGAAUUCGUGGUGUAGCGGUGAAAUGCUUAGAUAUCACGAAGAACUCCGAUUGCGAAGGCAGUUCACUGGACUGCAACUGACACUGAGGCUCGAAAGUGUGGGUAUCAAACAGGAUUAGAUACCCCUGUAGUC
RNAcentral lists this ribosomal RNA (460 nucleotides) under uncultured bacterium. RNAcentral's name for it is "partial 16S ribosomal RNA". It matches the Rfam family "Bacterial small subunit ribosomal RNA", at positions 338 to 795 of the family's 1533-position model. The record is from RNAcentral.